Folsomia candida is the source of this 699-nucleotide long non-coding RNA. RefSeq lists it as uncharacterized. The record is from RefSeq and is a predicted model, not a curated record. The transcript has 3 exons. Lineage: Eukaryota; Metazoa; Arthropoda; Collembola; Entomobryomorpha; Isotomidae.
AGAGGAUUACACAACCAAAAACUAAAAUUUGUCCAUCGGUUGGACAAAUUUUGCAUAACGGUUGGACAAGGCUUACCUUUUGGUUGAGUCAUCCUCUUUUUUGCAGAAGCUCGAGUACUCGUGUAUGAAAUAACAAGUGUUAAAUUCCGUAAAAAAUCGUUGAACUGGGUGCCUAAUCAGUCAGGGUAGUAACAUCAUGCGCAAUCGCCUCAGUCCAAAGUUGAAUUCGAAAAGGAAGAAUCCGACGGAAGAUGUCAGUACGCCAACGCCAUAAAUUCCCAGAGCGGUGUAAACUUGGCCCAACUUAAUCGAGGUGAACGGCAUCGAACUAACUUUGCACGGUGACGCGUGUGGGAUCCACUUGGCACGAAGACGACGUCGAACCCCGGUUUCGUCAAGUUUUAAAAGUCUGGAAAUUUAAAUAUUAUUUAUAUUCAGAAAUUUAUUAUGAUUGAUUUUUAUUAAGUUUUGUAAAUUUAAAAGGGUUUAAAGCCCCAGACUGAACACAACUUCUGAAACACAAAAAUUUUCUGGCAUUGAAUCCAGAGUGUAUUAAAUUGGCGAAAUAACGCUGAAUUUUUGUUUCAUUUCAAAUUUUGAAUGCAAUUUUUUUGUACUUCGAAAUUUUUGUGUGGUUUUAAGAAGUUAAAAAAAUUAGUUUGCAUAGACAAAUUAUGCUCGAAGUUCUGAAAUAAAGUU